Homo sapiens (human) is the source of this 3464-nucleotide long non-coding RNA. RefSeq lists it as uncharacterized. The transcript has 2 exons. The record is from RefSeq and is a predicted model, not a curated record. NCBI's taxonomy places the organism in Eukaryota, Metazoa, Chordata, Mammalia, Primates, Hominidae.
ACAGGUGUGAGCCACUGGCACCCGGCUCAUCUUUGCUUUCUGACAGCAAAAAGUUAUUUCAGACCUAUCAUGGGUGUUUUGUUUUGUUUUGAAUUUUUGUUUUUUUGACUCCAGAUAUGGACUUAACUGCACUCCAAGGAGUUUAUGUUGCUCUUCAUGAAAAUUAGUAUUAUAGACAAAAUUGAAGCUGGGAAUCAGCUACUUUUGUCUCUCAUUUUCACUGUUCUCUUUUUUUUUUAGAUGGAGUCUCACCCUGUCCCCCAGGCUGGAGUGCAAUGGUGCGAUCUCGGCUCACUGCAACCUCUGCCUCCUGGGUUCAAGCGAUUCUCCUGCCUCAGCCUCCCAAGUAGCUGGGAGUACAGGCGCUGCGUCACCAUGCCUGGCUAAUUUUUUGUAUCUUUAGUAGAGAUGGGGUUUCACCAUGUUGGCCGGGCUGGUCUCGAAUCCCUGACCUUGUGAUCUGCCCGCCUUGGCCUCCCAAAGUGCUGGGAUUACAGGCAUGAGCCACCACGCCCGGCCACUGUUCUCUUUUUUUAAUGAUGGUGUAGCUGUCUACCCUGUGGAGAUAUAUUGAUCUUCAAAAUCACCGUGAUAGUACAGUUAUUAUGGAAAACAUUAUUAAAUUCAAAAUAGAAUUCCCAAACGAUAUAGCAACCCCACUGCUGGGGAUAUAUCUAAAGGAAAUGAAAUCCGUAUCCAGAAGAGAGAUCUGCACCAUGUUCACUGCAGCACCAUUUACAAUAACCAAGACAUGGAGUUAACCUAAGUAUCCAUUGUCGGAUGAAUGAGUAAAGAAAAUAUGGUACAUAUGUACAAUGAAAUACUAUUCCGGCCUUAAAACAUAAUGAAAUUCCCUCAUUUGUGACAACAGGGGUGAAAUGAGAACAUUACGUUAAGUGAAAUUAGCCAGAUAUGGAAAGACAAACACUGCAUAAUCUCACUUCUAUGCGGAAUCUAAAGAGGUUGAUAUCAUAAAGCAGAGAGUGGAAUGAUGGUCACCAGGAUCUGGGGGCCAGAGACGCUGACUAAAGGGCACAGGAGGGGGCUAGGGCACGCUGACACAGGAGGAGUCAGUUCAAGACAUCUAAUGUACAACACAAUGACUAUAAUUCACAGCAAUGUAGUACAUGAAAAUUGCUAAGAGAGUAGAUUUUAGGUGUUCUCACCACAAAUAAAUAUGUGAGGUAAUGUCUAUGUUAAUUAGCUUGAUUUAGCCAUUCCCCAAUCCAUAUUCCCAACACAAUACAUAUUUCAAAACAGUACCUUGUACACCAUAUAUACAAUUUUUGUCAGUUUAAAGAAAUAAAGAAGAAAAAAAGUCACCAUGAUCAUUGGUAGUCCUUCCAUGAUAAUGCUGAUGCCUCAUCCUCAAGUGAGGACAUUUGUCUCAGUCACUUCAAGCUGCUAUGACAAAACACCAGAGACUGAGCAAUUUGUAGACAAUAGAAUUUUUGAUCACAGUCUGGAGGCUGAAAGUUCAAGAUGAAGGUGUCAGCAGGGCUGGGGUCUGGUGAGGGUCCUCUUCUGGGCUGUAGAGUGCAGUCUUGUGGUUGCAACCUCAUGUGAUGGAAGGGGUGAGGCAGCUCUCUGGAGUCCAUUUUACAGUGGCCCUAAUCCCAUCAGUGAGGGCUCCACCUUGAUGACCUAAUUAUCUCCCCAAGGCCCCACCUCCUAUGCCAUCCUCACAUUGAGGGUUGGGGCUUCCACAGAUGAGUUUGGGCUGGGGACACAAAUGUUACCCGAAAGGGGUCCCAGUCCAAACCCCAAAAAAGGGUUCUUGGAUCUGGUGCAAGAAAGAAUUUGAGGCAAAUCCAUAAAGUGAAAGCAAGUUUAUUAAGAAAGUAAAGGAAUAAAAAAUGACUAAUCCAUAGGCAGAGCAGUGGCAUGGUGCGCUGGUUGCCCAUUUUUAUGUUUAUUUCUUGAUUAUAUGCUAAAUAAGGUGGGGAUUAUUCAUGAGUCUCCCAGGAAAGGUGUGGGCAAUUCCCAGAGCUGAGGGUUUCUCCUCUUUUUAGACCAUAUAGGGUAACUUCUGGAUGUUGCCAUGGCAUUUGUAAACUGUCAUAGCACUGGUGGGAGUGUAGUGGUGAGGAUGACCAGAGGUCACUCUCAUCGCCAUCUUGGUUUUGGUGGGUUUGGGGCAGCUUGUUUACUGCAACCUGUUUUAUGAGCAGCGUCUUUAUGACCUGUAUCUUGUGCUAACCUCCUGUCUCAUCCUGUGACUUAGAAUGCCUUAACCUCCUUAAUCUCCUGGGAAUGCAGCCCAGCAGGUCUCAGCCUUAUUUUACCCAGCCCCUAUUCAAGAUGGAGUUGCUCUGGUUCACACGUCUCUGACACAAACAUUUAAGCCAAAGCAACAUUGUGGAAAGAAAGGAAAGACAUUUCUGAAAACAAAUGUGUGGUUCUGCCUGAUGGUUCUGGUGAAUCUUCCGCACUUGCUAUGACAAGAAAUUCAAGGAAAAUAAUAGGUGAGAGUUGUUUUGUGAAAAAUGCUGCAACUUUGGCAUUGUUGCUACUGCAAUUUGGGCCCAGGGUCUUGCAGGUUGGGGUUUCACCCUCCUCAUUUCACAUAAACCCGGGGCCAGCCUUCACUGGAUGCUAAUUGGCAUAUCUACAAAUAGGCCAGCCGGUCUGUGUCUCCUGAUUUAGAGACUGUAAACUAAAAAUAAAAUCCUAAGCACCCCUAACCAACUGCACAGACACUCUGUUGGUAAAAGGGACCCCAUAGAACCUUAAAAACUGAGUUUCUGGCCAUGAUAGGGUGGGAGUCAGACACAUCUCAUUAUACCCCUUUCUGUUGAGGUUUAGACACAACUGACAGCAUUCAUGUUAACAUAGAGACAGUCCAGGUGAGGUUAAGAGAAUUUUUUAAAAAAACACAGACACAGGAUGGAGUCUUUGUGGCAAUAAGGUGACAAAUUAUAAACAAGACCUAAGGGUUAAGUCAGCACCCUACACUUAAAGAAUAAACCAUGUUUUCACUGCUGCAAGGGUUUUCUUUUACUCCAGCAGCUAACCAAGCACUGGCCUCCAGCUAAGCAACAUUAAGACAAUUGCAGCUUACCCAGCUCACAGAGGCUGACUCUCCGACCCCCUGCUCCACCAGCCAUGAUGGCAGCAUUCACUGGACAAGACACUGACUUCAAGAGCUUUCUGCUGAUGAGAGACCACGACCUUGGGCUAGUCCUGGCCAGUUUACAGACGCUGUGCACUUGAGCACCUUUGAGUCCUGGAAAGACCUAAUUGGAAUACAUUUACAUGUGAAGCCUCCACCUCAAGAUUCAGAAAUCCCUGUGCCAACUAGAACCCUUUGAAACUAACCCUGACUAUCAUCAACAAGGAAUGUGGCUGCUUCCAUAGCAUAUUUGAAGUACAGAACUCAAGAAAAUGCUUCCUAUUGAUGGAAUUUGUUAGACCACCACACUUCCUGGGAAUUCAGUUUUCUUCCAUUAAAUUCAUCAGACUCA